This 868-nucleotide long non-coding RNA is filed under the name Capra hircus (goat). RNAcentral's name for it is "lncRNA (ENSCHIG00000000712.1)". The record is from RNAcentral. Lineage: Eukaryota; Metazoa; Chordata; Mammalia; Artiodactyla; Bovidae.
CUUUCUCACAACUAGCAGGGACUGAAAAAGUCAGUGACUGCUCUACUUUCCUAAGUAAUAGUUUCUACGAAGUAUCAGCUCCUGAGAAACAAUUUAUUGAGUUUUGCCUCUAGACCUUGAUGGAAUUAGGCCUGUGUCACCAUUUCAUGGGGAGAGAAGUCCUCUCAGAAAAAGUGGUCUUAUUUAUGGAGCCAUACCCAGUCCCACCACAGGUCUCCAAACAGUUCCUCAGACUGCAGCCUGGGUCAGCAACCACUGUUCCUGAAUGCCAUGUGAAUUCUCUGACUCUCGAAACUUGGGAAUGAGAUAUCCCAGAGAUGACCCUGAACAGCCCACUAAAAUAUGAAGUGACCCUUAGGUUUUUCAUGGUGUCUCCUGUAGGCAGCUACCAACACUGCAGGACACAGCUGCUGAAGACACUCACCUCCCCAGCAUCUCUGCUAGAGGUUCCACACCAGCCUGUGAGGACCCCGGAGCAGCACAGCUCCCCUAACCACAGAGGGCCCUCUAAACCAGGCCCACAGCUCCUAGGGCCUGUCUUCCACCAGCUUCUGGAAUUGAAGAAUACAGGACAACACUGUUUCUAUAUUGCUGCAAGAGAAACAAUAAAAGCUUGAUCAGCUGAAUGCUUAAAUAUGGCUGAAUGUUUGAUGAGAUGAAGAUGUAAUUUUGUCUAUGUUCCCUAAGGAUCUGGAUUAAAUAUGACUACAGGGCCUAAUCAAAUAGCUAGUCACUGAACAACGGUCCCAACUGCAUUUUUCAUUCUAGGCAUGCCUUUCUCCCUCACCACCCCCCCAAGUACAUUACUUAUUCACUGGUUUGUCAGCAGUGUGCAUUAUUAGCGCUUGAGAGAUAAAACUUUAAGUGU